UACAGAGGUCCCAAGCGUUGUUCGGAUUCACUGGGCGUAAAGGGUGCGUAGGCGGUGAGGUAAGUCGGAUGUGAAAUCUCCGGGCUCAACCCGGAAACUGCAUUGGAAACUACCUUGCUUGAGGAUUUGAGGGGGGAUUGGAAUACUUGGUGUAGCAGUGAAAUGCGUAGAUAUCAAGUGGAACACCAGUGGCGAAGGCGAAUCCCUGGAAAAUACCUGACACUGAGGCACGAAAGCUAGGGGAGCAAACAGG
This 253-nucleotide ribosomal RNA is filed under the name uncultured bacterium. RNAcentral's name for it is "partial 16S ribosomal RNA". It matches the Rfam family "Bacterial small subunit ribosomal RNA", at positions 524 to 776 of the family's 1533-position model. The record is from RNAcentral.